Nicotiana tabacum (common tobacco) is the source of this 1809-nucleotide non-coding RNA. The record is from RefSeq and is a predicted model, not a curated record. Lineage: Eukaryota; Viridiplantae; Streptophyta; Magnoliopsida; Solanales; Solanaceae.
GCCUAACGGAUUGCCAAAAAAAAAAAUGAUACAAGAUUAGUUCCUAAUUUUUUCUUUAAAUAGACACUUGAAAGAAGAAUUUUAGCCAUUUUAGCAUGACUUCGAUAGAUUGUUAAUUGUUAUAGUGUAUAAACUCAGUCAUUUGAGGCUGUCCAUUUUGAAUCAUAAAAAAACUUCAUGAUUUUUUCAGAUUAGGUGUAUAAGUUCAGUUGAUCACUUGAUAACUGUGUUUUGAUCCUCUCGCUAGAGAAGUUACUGCAAAUAUUCUAAUUUAGUUUAGAUGAUCCUGCCGACUUCUAAUGUGAACAGCUUGAAUCCAUGUGGCUUCAGAGCAUUUUAGCAAAUUUUGGUAUCAGUAGGAAAUAGCCUUUUUACAUUCACUAGGUAGAGGUAAUAUCUGUGUAUACACUACCCUCCCUCACUGGAUAUGUCGUCGUUGUUGUAGCUUUUGGUACUCUCUGUAAUUAAAUAUACACUGUUCAAGGAGCUGAAAAUAAUUCAAAUAUAGGAAAAACAAAAUUUAUGAAAGAAUUCUGAGCAUAGAAAGUGGAGAAAACAAAAACCACAAGAAUUUAAAAACUCACUGGAAGUACUGAAGCAAGAAAAAAAUGAAGAGAGCAGCCAAAGAGAGAAUCAGAGUGAAUAGAUGGAAAAUUGUAGAGUUAUAGUGUGCCUGAAUCUGUGCAUCUGUUUAUUCUCUCUAACGACGAAAAAUAAGUAUUUUCUUUUAGUGAUUCAAGAGGAUGUUACAACAAGUAACGAUCUUAGUCGCCACAUUUGGUUGGAGGACAUAUAAAAUGGUAGCGGAGCGAUGAGAGUUUUAAAGUAAAACCACACAUGCAUAAAAGUAAAUAUACCCGUUUAUCUAACUUUAUUUGAGGCUUCAGUUGUUUCUGCAUCAGUUUGUAGCAUUUAGCUGGCCCAGUUUCCGCUUUUCUUCUUCCUUUUUCCCUUUAGUAAAGAUCAAUUUUUGAAAGAAAACAUAGGGGAAACAGAGAAAAUAACCAAGAUAAAACAUUGACCCUCAGUUUUUAACAUCUUUUAAUGGCCGUGAGGACCACAACCGAAAACUUAUCAAUGAUGACAGAGCUUUAAAUGAGAAUCUCUCUUCAAUCUAGAUGUUUAUUUGUGUGCAAAUGUGAGAUCUGAAUUUAGCUCUUUGCACUUUUAUACCUCUGCAAGAUAAUUUUAUGCCAAAUGCACAUAGAAAAAUCUGCUAUGAGAAGGACCAAAAUAAGAAAAAAGAAAUUGAGUAUACUAUUUCCUAAAUAUAUAGUUACUGUAAGUCUGUAACACUAUUUAUAUUGCUUUCUAAACUGUUAUCCAUUUGAUCACCAUUGAAUUGAGAUUAUUAAAUAUAAUCUGAUGCUUAUCAGAGUGUGAGAAUGCAUCAUGAUGAAGAUUUAGUAAGAUUCCAUCUGUUCAUAUUUUCUUAUUUUCACAAUAUGAGAGACAUUUUGCAUGUCUAGAAGCCAAGAGCUUAACAGACUGUAACUUUAUAGGAAGAUGCCAACUUGGAAAAAGAGAAGUACAAAAUAAAAGAAAGGUAGCAAGAAGGCCGCAUAGUUUCAAACUUCCAUAUGCUGCUUGAUGCUUGAUGGACUGGGAGCGAUAGAUAUUCACCCGAUACCGUUAUUAUAAGAACAAAAAAAUAAAUAUGCCUACAAUAUAGGAAUAGUACCCUCAUGGAGGUAGAGAAUGUAUCACUUUACAACCGCGGAAUCGCGCAACAUUCAAGAGUCGACAUUUUGUUCAUUUACGUAUGUAAAUAAUAUCCAACAAUUAAUAUAUGCUGUCCUCUUUAUCCGA